CCCUUAGAUGUUCUGGGCCGCACGCGUGCUACACUGAGUAAUUCAAUGGGUAAGGGAACGCUAGAGCAUUACCUAAUCUUGAAAUUUGCUCGUGAUGGGGAUCGACGGUUGCAAUUUUCCGUCGUGAACGAGGAAUACCUUGUAGGCGCAUGUCAUCAUCAUGCGCCGAAUACGUCCCUGCCCUUUGUACACACCGCCCGUCGCUCCUACCGAUUGAGUGAUCCGGUGAGGCUCUGGGACCUGGACGGAAAGAGCGUUUCGCUUGUUCUGUUUGGGAAACUUGGUCGAACCUUAUCAUUUAGAGGAAGGAGGAGUCGUAACA
This 322-nucleotide ribosomal RNA is filed under the name uncultured eukaryote. Its description in RNAcentral is "partial 18S ribosomal RNA". It matches the Rfam family "Eukaryotic small subunit ribosomal RNA", at positions 1470 to 1796 of the family's 1831-position model. The record is from RNAcentral.